RNAcentral lists this long non-coding RNA (1740 nucleotides) under Homo sapiens (human). RNAcentral's name for it is "HSALNT0377047". The record is from RNAcentral. Lineage: Eukaryota; Metazoa; Chordata; Mammalia; Primates; Hominidae.
CAGUCCUUGGGCAGUGGAUGGGACCGGGCGCCUAGGAGCAGGGGGCGGCGCCGGUCGGGUAGGGUCGGGCUGGCGGGAGCCCGGGGCGGGGCUUGGGCAUGGCUGGCUGCAGGUCCCCAGCCCUGCCACACGGGGAGGCGGCUGAGGCCCAGCAAGAAUUCAAGCUCCGCGGGGGCAGGCCAGCAGUGCUGGGGGACCCGGCGCACCCUCCGCAGCUGCUGGCCCGGGUGCUAAACCCCUCACUGCCCGGGCCGGCGGUGCCGGCGGGCUGCUCUCAGUGCGGGACCUCGGAGCCUGCGCCCACCCGGAACUAGCCGCGUUCAGCCCUGGUUCCCGCCCCCGCCUCUCCCGCCACACCUCUCCACAAGCAGAGGGAGCUGGCUUCAGCCUCAGCCAGCACAGAGAGGGGCCCCCAUAGCGCAGUGGCGGGCUGAAGGGCUCCUUGAGCAUGGCCAGAGUGGACGCCAAGGCUGAGGAGGCGCCGAGAGCCAGUGAGGGCUGCUAGCAUGUUGUCACCUCUCAAUACAUAAAACUACUGGAGGGUGGUUCCAAGAUGGCCAAAUAGGAACAGCUCCAGUCUACAGCUCCCAGCAUGAGUGAUGCAGAAGACGAAUGAUUUCUGCAUUUCCAACUCAGGUACUGGGUUCAUCUUAUUGGGGAUUGUCAGACAGUGGGUGCAGGACAGUGGGUGCAGCGCACCGAGCGUGAGCCGAAGUAGGGCAAGGCAUCACCUCACCCAGGAAGCGCAAGGGGUCAGGGAAUUCCCUUUCCUAGCCAAGGAAAGGGGUGACAGAUGGCACCUGGAAAAUCGGGUCACUCCCACCCUAAUACUGCGCUUUUCUGAUGGUCAUAGCAAAUGGCACACCAGGAGAUUAUAUCCCGUGCCUGGCUCGGAGGGUCCUACGCCCACGGACCCUUGCUCAUUGCUAGCACAGCAGUCUGAGAUCAAAUUGAAAGGCAGCAGCCAGGCUGGGGGAGGGGCAUCUGCCAUUGCUGAGGCGUGAGUAGGUAAACAAACCUGCCGGGAAGCUCAAACUGGGUGGAGCCCACCGCAUCUCAAGGAGGCCUGCCUGCCUCUGUAGACUCCACCUCUGGGGGCAGGGCAUAGCCAAACAAAAGGCAGCAGAAACCUCUGCAGACUUAAAUGUCCCUGCCUGACAGCUUGGAAGACAGCAGUGGUUCUCCCAGCAUGCAGCUGGAGAUCUGAGAAUGGACAGAGUGCCUCCUCAAGUGGGUCCCUGACCCCUGGGUAGCCUAACUGGGAGGCAUCCCCCAGUAGGGGCAGACUGACACCUCACACGGCCGGGUACUCCUCUGAGACAAAACUUCCAGAGGAACGAUCAGGCAGCAGCAUUUGCUGUUCACCAAUAUUCGCUGUUCUGCAGCCUCAACUGCUGAUAUCCAGGCAAACAGGGUCUGGAGUGGACCUCCGGCAAACUCCAACAGACCUGCAGCUGAGGGUCCUGUCUGUUAGAAGGAAAACUAACAAACAGAAAGGACAUCCACCCCAAAAACCCAUCUGUACGUCACCAUCAUCGAAGAACAAAGGUAGAUAAAACCACAAAGAUGGGAAAAAAACAGAGCAGAAAAACUGGAAACUCUAAAAAUCAGAGCGCCUCUCCUCCUCCAAAGGAAUGCAACUCUUCACCAGCAACGGAACAAAGCUGGACGGAGAAUGACUUUGACGAGUUGAGAAAAGAAGGCUUCAGAUGAUCAAACUACUCCGAGCUACAGGAGGAA